GGAGAACACGCGAUCUGCCUGUCGAAUUGCAGCGACAAGUCGUUAUUCGUGCGUUCCAGCUUGGGUUGGACCCAUUUGACUACGUUGAACACAUCGACGCGGAAGCCGAAGAGAUGAUAGGUGAA
RNAcentral lists this non-coding RNA (125 nucleotides) under Palpitomonas bilix. The record is from RNAcentral.